Molecule: ribosomal RNA, 301 nt
Filed under: uncultured bacterium
Lineage: Bacteria
Description: partial 16S ribosomal RNA
Rfam family: Bacterial small subunit ribosomal RNA
Source: RNAcentral
CAGCCGCCGCGGUAAUACGAGGGGGGCAAGCGUUGUUCGGAUUUAUUGGGCGUAAAGGGUGCGUAGGCGGUUUGGCAAGUCUUGUGUGAAAUCUAUGGGCUCAACCCAUAGCCUGCACGAGAAACUACCGGGCUUGAGUGAUGGAGAGGUGAGUGGAAUUUCCGGUGUAGCGGUGAAAUGCGUAGAUAUCGGAAGGAACACCUGUGGCGAAAGCGGCUCACUGGACAUUAACUGACGCUGAUGCACGAAAGCUAGGGGAGCAAACAGGAUUAGAUACCCCGGUAGUCCCUGUCUCUUAUAC